GGCGGCAUAGCCAAGUGGUAAGGCACAGGUCUGCAAAACCUUGACCACCAGUUCAAAUCUGGUUGCCGCCU
RNAcentral lists this transfer RNA (71 nucleotides) under Fenollaria massiliensis. RNAcentral describes it as "Clostridiales bacterium 9401234 tRNA". It matches the Rfam family "tRNA". From Rfam's summary of the family: Transfer RNA (tRNA) molecules are approximately 80 nucleotides in length. The record is from Rfam by way of RNAcentral. Lineage: Bacteria; Bacillati; Bacillota; Clostridia; Eubacteriales.